GCUAGUGUAGCUUAACUGGUAGAGCAGCUGAUUUGUAAUCAGCAGAUCGGGAGUUCGAAUCUCUUCACUAGCU
This 73-nucleotide transfer RNA is filed under the name Nephromyces sp. ex Molgula occidentalis. RNAcentral describes it as "tRNA-Thr". It matches the Rfam family "tRNA". Rfam says of the family: Transfer RNA (tRNA) molecules are approximately 80 nucleotides in length. Their secondary structure includes four short double-helical elements and three loops (D, anti-codon, and T loops). Lineage: Eukaryota; Apicomplexa; Aconoidasida; Nephromycida. The record is from RNAcentral.